Molecule: ribosomal RNA, 654 nt
Filed under: uncultured bacterium
Lineage: Bacteria
Description: bacterial SSU rRNA
Rfam family: Bacterial small subunit ribosomal RNA
Source: RNAcentral
ACGAAGGCUUCGGCCUUAGUGGCGCACGGGUGCGUAACGCGUGGGAAUCUGCCCUUAGGUUCGGAAUAACAGCUGGAAACGGCUGCUAAUACCGGAUGAUAUCGCGAGAUCAAAGAUUUAUCGCCUGAGGAUGAGCCCGCGUUGGAUUAGGUAGUUGGUGGGGUAAAGGCCUACCAAGCCGACGAUCCAUAGCUGGUCUGAGAGGAUGAUCAGCCACACUGGGACUGAGACACGGCCCAGACUCCUACGGGAGGCAGCAGUGGGGAAUAUUGGACAAUGGGCGAAAGCCUGAUCCAGCAAUGCCGCGUGAGUGAUGAAGGCCCUAGGGUUGUAAAGCUCUUUUACCCGGGAAGAUAAUGACUGUACCGGGAGAAUAAGCCCCGGCUAACUCCGUGCCAGCAGCCGCGGUAAUACGGAGGGGGCUAGCGUUGUUCGGAAUUACUGGGCGUAAAGCGCACGUAGGCGGCUUUGUAAGUCAGAGGUGAAAGCCUGGAGCUCAACUCCAGAACUGCCUUUGAGACUGCAUCGCUUGAAUCCAGGAGAGGUCAGUGGAAUUCCGAGUGUAGAGGUGAAAUUCGUAGAUAUUCGGAAGAACACCAGUGGCGAAGGCGGCUGACUGGACUGGUAUUGACGCUGAGGUGCGAAAGCGUGGGG